AUUCGCUAGUAAUCGCGCAUCAGCCAUGGCGCGGUGAAUACGUUCCCGGGCCUUGUACACACCGCCCGUCAAGCCAUGGGAGUCGGGAGUGCCUGAAGUUCGUGACCGUAUAGGAGCGACCUAGGGCAAGACUGAUGACUGGGGCUAAGUCGUAACAAGGUAGC
RNAcentral lists this ribosomal RNA (164 nucleotides) under uncultured bacterium. RNAcentral describes it as "partial 16S ribosomal RNA". It matches the Rfam family "Bacterial small subunit ribosomal RNA", at positions 1330 to 1500 of the family's 1533-position model. The record is from RNAcentral.